Molecule: long non-coding RNA, 316 nt
Filed under: Elaeis guineensis (African oil palm)
Lineage: Eukaryota; Viridiplantae; Streptophyta; Magnoliopsida; Arecales; Arecaceae
Description: long non-coding RNA (EGUI_LNC007833)
Source: RNAcentral
AGGUACGUCGAACCGUCGGACCGAGGAAGGGCCCAAGCGCUGCCAUGUGUCAACAUCCGAAAAAUCCUCGUUCGACGCACUUUCAUCUCGACCGUCGAAGGGCCUUAUAUAUAUAUGGCCACUCGUAUCCAAAGCUUCACUUUUUACUAUCCUGUUUCUGGCACUGAGGCCCUGUCGAGUUGUCUCCCAGUCCCAAGUAGCUGUUUCCGUCCUCCUUCUUUGAAAGCUCUUCUCGAAGCUUUUCAUUCUUGUCCCCUUGUAUUUUCGCUUCCUUUGCAUUCUCCUUUUUAUUCUCUUUCCUUGGGGCUAGCGUUAU